RNAcentral lists this ribosomal RNA (402 nucleotides) under bacterium. Its description in RNAcentral is "partial 16S ribosomal RNA". It matches the Rfam family "Bacterial small subunit ribosomal RNA", at positions 355 to 776 of the family's 1533-position model. The record is from RNAcentral.
UGGGGAAUUUUGCACAAUGGGGGAAACCCUGAUGCAGCGACGCCGCGUGAUUUAGAAGGCCUUCGGGUUGUAAAAAUCUUUUCUAUGGGAAGAAAAUGACAGUACCAUAGGAAUAAGUACCGGCUAAUUACGUGCCAGCAGCCGCGGUAAUACGUAAGGUCCGAGCGUUGUCCGGAAUCAUUGGGCGUAAAGGGUACGUAGGCGGGUAAGCAAGUUGGAAGUGAAAUCCUAUAGCUCAACUAUAGUAAGCUUUUAAAACUGCUCAUCUUGAGGUAUGGAAGGGAAAGUGGAAUUCCUUGUGUAGCGGUGAAAUGCGCAGAUAUUAGGAGGAAGACCGGUGGCGAAGGCGACUUUCUGGCCAUAACCUGACGCUGAGGUACGAAAGCGUGGGUAGCAAACAGG